UACGAAGGGGGCUAGCGUUGCUCGGAAUCACUGGGCGUAAAGCGCACGUAGGCGGAUUCCUAAGUCGGGGGUGAAAUCCUGGAGCUCAACUCCAGAACUGCCUUCGAUACUGGGAAUCUUGAGUCCGGGAGAGGUGAGUGGAACUGCGAGUGUAGAGGUGAAAUUCGUAGAUAUUCGCAAGAACACCAGUGGCGAAGGCGGCUCACUGGUCCGGUACUGACGCUGAGGUGCGAAAGCGUGGGGAGCAAACAGG
This 253-nucleotide ribosomal RNA is filed under the name uncultured bacterium. Its description in RNAcentral is "partial 16S ribosomal RNA". It matches the Rfam family "Bacterial small subunit ribosomal RNA", at positions 524 to 776 of the family's 1533-position model. The record is from RNAcentral.